GAUGAACGCUGGCGGCGUGCUUAACGCAUGCAAGUCGAACGAAGCACUUUAUUUGAUUUCCUUCGGGACUGAUUAUUUUGUGACUGAGUGGCGGACGGGUGAGUAACGCGUGGGUAACCUGCCUUGUACAGGGGGAUAACAGUUGGAAACGGCUGCUAAUACCGCAUAAGCGCACAGCAUCGCAUGAUGCAGUGUGAAAAACUCCGGUGGUAUAAGAUGGACCCGCGUUGGAUUAGCUAGUUGGUGAGGUAACGGCCCACCAAGGCGACGAUCCAUAGCCGACCUGAUAGGGUGACCGGCCACAUUGGGACUGAGACACGGCCCAAACUCCUACGGGAGGCAGCAGUGGGGAAUAUUGCACAAUGGGCGAAAGCCUGAUGCAGCGACGCCGCGUGAGCGAAGAAGUAUUUCGGUAUGUAAAGCUCUAUCAGCAGGGAAGAUAAUGACGUUACCUGACUAAGAAGCACCGGCUAAAUACGUG
This 481-nucleotide ribosomal RNA is filed under the name uncultured bacterium. RNAcentral's name for it is "partial 16S ribosomal RNA". It matches the Rfam family "Bacterial small subunit ribosomal RNA", at positions 28 to 507 of the family's 1533-position model. The record is from RNAcentral.